CCCCUAGAUGUUCUGGGCUGCACGCGCGCUACACUGAUGCGUUCAACGAGUUUAUGACCUUGCCCGAUAGGGUUGGGUAAUCUUUUUAAAUCGCAUCGUGAUGGGGAUAGAUUAUUGCAAUUAUUAAUCUUCAACGAGGAAUGCCUAGUAAGCGCAAGUCAUCAGCUUGCGUUGAUUACGUCCCUGCCCUUUGUACACACCGCCCGUCGCUCCUACCGAUUGAAUGGUCCGGUGAAGCGUUCGGACCGUGGCCUUUGGACGGUUCGCCGUCUGUUGGCUGCGGGAAGUUCGUUAAACCUUAUCAUUUAGAGGAAGGAGAAGUCGUAACA
This 329-nucleotide ribosomal RNA is filed under the name uncultured eukaryote. RNAcentral describes it as "partial 18S ribosomal RNA". It matches the Rfam family "Eukaryotic small subunit ribosomal RNA", at positions 1470 to 1796 of the family's 1831-position model. The record is from RNAcentral.